Molecule: RNA transcript, 2386 nt
Organism: Cinclus cinclus
Lineage: Eukaryota; Metazoa; Chordata; Aves; Passeriformes; Cinclidae
Gene: TNFAIP6
Gene name: TNF alpha induced protein 6
Exons: 2
Source: RefSeq, a predicted model, not a curated record
UGUAAAAUACAGAAUACAGAAUGUAGAAUAUAGAAUGUAAAAUAUAGGAUACAGAAUGUAAAAUAUAGAAUAUAGAAUGUAAAACAUAGCCUGGCGGAUUUCCUGGAAAUCUACGACAGCUACGACGACAUCAAUGGCUUUGUGGGGAGGUAAAGUAGAAUGUAAAAUAUAGAAUACAGAAUGUAGAAUAUAGAAUGUAAAAUAUAGGAUACAGAAUGUAAAAUAUAGAAUAUAGAAUGUAAAAUAUAGAAUGUAGAAUGUAAAACAUAGCCUGGCAGAUUUCCUGGAAAUCUACGACAGCUACGACGACAUCAACGGCUUUGUGGGGAGGUAAAGUAGAAUGUAAAAUAUAGAAUACAGAAUGUAGAAUAUAGAAUGUAAAAUAUAGGAUACAGAAUGUAAAAUAUAGAAUAUAGAAUGUAAAAUAUAGAAUAUAGAAUGUAAAACAUAGCCUGGCGGAUUUCCUGGAAAUCUACGACAGCUACGACGACAUCAACGGCUUUGUGGGGAGGUAAAGUAGAAUGUAAAAUAUAGAAUACAGAAUGUAGAAUAUAGAAUGUAAAAUAUAGGAUACAGAAUGUAAAAUAUAGAAUAUAGAAUGUAAAAUAUAGAAUGUAGAAUGUAAAACAUAGCCUGGCAGAUUUCCUGGAAAUCUACGACAGCUACGACGACAUCAACGGCUUUGUGGGGAGGUAAAGUAGAAUGUAAAAUAUAGAAUACAGAAUGUAGAAUAUAGAAUGUAAAAUAUAGGAUACAGAAUGUAAAAUAUAGAAUAUAGAAUGUAAAACAUAGCCUGGCGGAUUUCCUGGAAAUCUACGACAGCUACGACGACAUCAACGGCUUUGUGGGGAGGUUUUGUGGAGAUGAAUUGCCAGAUGACAUCAUUAGCACAGGUAAUUUAUUUGCACUUUUUGGGGGAAAUAAAAAAGCCAAUUAAUGACUUCUAAUUAAAUGUAAGUCGGCCUAAUUGGAGAGAAAUUAAAAAAAAAAAAACUUCAAACCCCCAAAAAUGUAUCUGGGAAAAAAUUUUAAACCCCCCAAAAAAUACCUGAAAAAACUUUAAAACCAGAACAAUGUAUCUGAAAAAAACGCUUAAAACCCAAAAGAUGUCUGAAAUAAAUUUGAAAAACUAAAAUUAAAUCUGAAAAACCCCAUUAAAACUCAGAAAAACACAUUUAAAAAGUUAAAACUAAAAAAAUAUAUAUGAAAAAACUUAGACUCCCCAAAAAUGUAACAGAAAAAACCUUAAAAUGCAAAAAAAAUCUGAAAAAAGUUAAAAUGCAAAAAUAAACCUGAAAAAUACUCUUAACUUCUAAAAAUAGAUCUGAAAAAGCUUAAACACAAAAUAUAGCUGAAAAAACACAAAAAUAUAUCUUAAAAAAAACCUUAAAAACCCCAAAUAGAUCUGAAAACCCCAAACAUAGAUCUGAAAAAACUUAAAUACCCAAUAAAUAUAUUUGGAAAAAGAUCUUUAAACCCAAAACACACCUGGAAAAAAAAAAUUAAAACCGAAAAAAAUAUAUCUGAUGAAAGAUAAAAACCCAAAAAUAUCUAAAAAAAAUACCUUAACUUCUAAAAAUAUAUCUAAAAAAAACCCUUAAAAAUAUAUCUGAAAAAUCUUAAAAACCCAAAAAAUAUACCUGAAAAAACCCCAUAAAAAACCCAAAAACAUAUCUGAAAAAACAUAAAGACCCAAUAAACAUAUUUAGAAAAAGGCCUUAUAACCAAAAACACACCUGAAAAAGAAAUUGAAAACCAAAAACAUAGAUCUAAAAAACGUUAAAAAAAAACAAAAAGAGAUCUGAAAAAAAGCCCCUUAAAAUUCAAAAAAAUGUAUCUGAAAAAACUUAAAAAACCAAAACAUAGAUCUGAGAAAAACCCUUAACUCCUAAAAAUAGGUAUGGAAAAAAAAAAAAAACCCUUAAAAAUAGAUCUGAAAAAAACCUUAAAAACCCAAAAACACACCUGAAAAAAACCCUUUAAAACCCAAAAAUAGAUCUGAAAAAAACCUUUAAAAACCCAAAAACAGAUGCGAAAAAACCCAAAAAUAGAUCUGAAAAAGCCCUUAAAAACCCCAAAAUAGAUCUGAAAACACCAAAAACUACUCUAAAAAAACCGUAAAUACCCAAUGAACAUAUUUAGAAAAAGCCCUUAAAACCCAAAACCCACCUGGAAAAAAUUUAAAAACCCUCCCCAAACCUAUGGAAAAAAUCCCAAUUUUGUGGCGCUGUUCCCUUUUGCUGGCACAGGGAAUGUGAUGACGCUCAAGUUCCUGUCGGACGCGUCGGUCACAGCCGGAGGGUUCCAGAUCCGCUACAGCACCCUGGACACUGCCAGGGACAGGAAUGGCACAUCCCAAGGGAAAAACAACUUUUUGUCAGGAAAA